This is a transfer RNA of Fonticula alba, 72 nucleotides long. It matches the Rfam family "tRNA". From Rfam's summary of the family: Transfer RNA (tRNA) molecules are approximately 80 nucleotides in length. Their secondary structure includes four short double-helical elements and three loops (D, anti-codon, and T loops). Further hydrogen bonds mediate the characteristic L-shaped molecular structure. tRNAs have two regions of fundamental functional importance: the anti-codon, which is responsible for specific mRNA codon recognition, and the 3' end, to which the tRNAs corresponding amino acid is attached (by aminoacyl-tRNA synthetases). tRNAs cope with the degeneracy of the genetic code in two manners: having more than one tRNA (with a specific anti-codon) for a particular amino acid; and 'wobble' base-pairing, i.e. permitting non-standard base-pairing at the 3rd anti-codon position. The record is from Rfam. NCBI's taxonomy places the organism in Eukaryota, Rotosphaerida, Fonticulaceae.
GCGGGUAUCGAUUAAUGGCUAAAUCCUUUGCCUUCCAAGCAAAUGCUAUGGGUUCGAGUCCCAUUAUCCGCA